AUGCUCCUUGGGCUGCAGGUGAGCAUCUUUACCUGGGUGCUCCUGGGAAACCACAGAGGUCUCACCCUCCCCAUCACCAGGCAAUGCCCAUGGAAAGCAGCAGCAGAACCCUCUCAGGCUGGCUCGUACACAUGCUUUAGAGCUUUUAAAUUUUUCACUCAGGCGAAAUGCUGUGGCUGUGCAGGCGGACGUGCCCAAAACACCUCCUGCAGACCCGGGUGGCCACAGCAGCUCCUGGAGCUCGGCAGGCUGCAGGUGCAGCGGGUCCCCGGGGAUUGCCAGCAGCUGGCGGAGGGGACAGGGGGCUGGGGGGCUGCGGGCUGCAGCUGGGACCUGUUAUCAGCUUCAGCUGCUUCAACCGGCUGCCAGCUGGCAGGGGACAAGCAGGGGGAAGAGGCACAGCGCUCACAGCACCGUGCUCAGCACCCACCCGAUGCUCGGAACUCAUCUGGGGACAUCAUCACCUCUGCCUCGGCCGUGGCAAAGGACAGCUCAGCCUCGUGGUGUGGCUGCGGUGAAGCCUGUGGAUGGUCGCUGGACAGAAAGCUGCAGAGACCGCUCCUGGGGAAGUCCCGGACGCUGCCCAGCAUCCCGCAGUCCCCGGUCCUGAGCAGGCUUCCCCUCCUUGACUCCACGGCAUAUAGGGAGGAGAUGCCGGAGCAGAAGUCCUACAAGAAGCACUCGGCCUCUGAUGGCCAGAAGGGCUGCACGGUCCCAUCUGCCGGUGAGUGCCAGGGAGAGCUUUGUGCCCGUUCUGCCUGGGGGCCAGCAAAAUCUUACCCAACGUGUCCUUGUUCUGCAGGGGUGCGAACAGCAAGGUAAAUCCAAUCCCUGUCUGUAGGGGGUUUAUGCUGCCUCAAAAACAAAUGUUCUUGGUGAGAUUUAUUUUUUUUUUUUAUCCACUUCUGAGGCUUUCUUUGAGCCUGUUAUUUAAACCUUCCCACCUUUUAUUACACCGAUGAAAAAGCCGCAUGGGGCUGCAAGAGCCCUUGGCUCGGAGGUGAUGCUCGGAGCAUCAGAGCUGGGUCUCCUGGCCACAUGUGAACUGCUGCUCCGGGUUCCUCCGGCCUCCCCAACAGACCCAGGUGCCUUCCUUCUGCAGCAUCAAGUGGCUUCAGGGUGCCCGUUGCUGUCCCCAUGGGGAGCAGAGGCUGGGUGGCACCGCGUGGCUGUGCCGUUGUCCUGGCCCGCAGUGGGGGUUUGCUGUGGCAGAUGCUCCCAGCCUGGGAGCGUGUGUUGGCCUUCGUGUCAACAGAGGAUUUUUUACUGUGUUCUGCUCUUGUGCUGAUCCUGAUGAAAUACUAAUAUGGUUGGACCAGCUGCUCUGAGCAAGUUUAUUGGCAAAACUGUUGAUGGGCAAAGUGUUUCACGCUUCUGGUGCCAGCAGAAUCACGCUGGGGCCAUAAGAACGAUGGGGAAAGCGAUUAGCACUGAAACAGAGAUAAGGCUCGCCAGCCAGGGCUGACAAUCCAGUGCAAAAUAAAACCCUUAUAAAAUAGCUCCCGUCUACCA
RNAcentral lists this long non-coding RNA (1512 nucleotides) under Anas platyrhynchos platyrhynchos (common mallard). Its description in RNAcentral is "lncRNA (ENSAPLG00000020998.1)". The record is from RNAcentral. Lineage: Eukaryota; Metazoa; Chordata; Aves; Anseriformes; Anatidae.